RNAcentral lists this ribosomal RNA (497 nucleotides) under uncultured bacterium. RNAcentral describes it as "partial 16S ribosomal RNA". It matches the Rfam family "Bacterial small subunit ribosomal RNA", at positions 28 to 507 of the family's 1533-position model. The record is from RNAcentral.
GAUGAACGCUGGCGGCGUGCCUAAUACAUGCAAGUCGAGCGAACGGACGAGAAGCUUGCUUCUCUGAUGUUAGCGGCGGACGGGUGAGUAACACGUGGAUAACCUACCUAUAAGACUGGGAUAACUUCGGGAAACCGGAGCUAAUACCGGAUAAUAUUUUGAACCGCAUGGUUCAAAAGUGAAAGACGGUCUUGCUGUCACUUAUAGAUGGAUCCGCGCUGCAUUAGCUAGUUGGUAAGGUAACGGCUUACCAAGGCAACGAUGCAUAGCCGACCUGAGAGGGUGAUCGGCCACACUGGAACUGAGACACGGUCAAGACUCCUACGGGAGGCAGCAGUAGGGAAUCUUCCGAAAUGGGCGAAAGCCUGACGGAGCAACGCCGCGUGAGUGAUGAAGGUCUUCGGAUCGUAAAACUCUGUUAUUAGGGAAGAACAUAUGUGUAAGUAACUGUGCACAUCUUGACGGUACCUAAUCAGAAAGCCACGGCUAACUACGUG